RNAcentral lists this transfer RNA (85 nucleotides) under Felis catus (domestic cat). It matches the Rfam family "tRNA". Rfam says of the family: Transfer RNA (tRNA) molecules are approximately 80 nucleotides in length. Their secondary structure includes four short double-helical elements and three loops (D, anti-codon, and T loops). Further hydrogen bonds mediate the characteristic L-shaped molecular structure. tRNAs have two regions of fundamental functional importance: the anti-codon, which is responsible for specific mRNA codon recognition, and the 3' end, to which the tRNAs corresponding amino acid is attached (by aminoacyl-tRNA synthetases). tRNAs cope with the degeneracy of the genetic code in two manners: having more than one tRNA (with a specific anti-codon) for a particular amino acid; and 'wobble' base-pairing, i.e. permitting non-standard base-pairing at the 3rd anti-codon position. The record is from Rfam by way of RNAcentral. Lineage: Eukaryota; Metazoa; Chordata; Mammalia; Carnivora; Felidae.
GCCUGGGUGGCUCAGUCGGUUAAGCACCUGACUUCAGCUCAGGUCAUGAUCUCACCUUUUGUGAGUUUGAGUCCCUCAUCAGGCU